UUUUUAUUGAAAAAUAAAAAAAAAAGUUAUUUUAUAAUUUACAGUUACGUGUGCAAAAGUCAAAUUUCUUACGUAAAAAAAAAAAAAAAUAAAUUCAGUGUCGUGCUUUUAGAUUUUUUUUUUUUAAAGAAGUCAUCAUGAUAUGCAAAUUGUUGCCUAAAUUUUGUUGAAAAAUAUAAAUAUCUGGGUUGAAAAUUUGUAUAAUAUUGGAAGUGACAUAUAUAUAUAUAUAUAUACAUAUGAUGACGGGGCAUAUGGUGGUGUAUAUAUCAGCUUAACAAUGCGAUUUGAAUGUAUCCUGGUGUGAACAUUGACACCGGGAACCGGUGACAUUGGCUACACGCGAACCAACCAAUGAGAGAAGCGGAGUCAGGGUUCUCAAUCAUGAUCCAACGCCAGGCAAAGGAAACAGCCAGAAGCGCAGGAAACGGGAAACGUGGUGGAAAUUGAAAAUGUGAUGGACAACGGGGGUGAGAGGGGACAGAUGGCGGCACCGGAUAUAUAUAGAGGGUGGAGCUCAAACCCUGCGGAAAUUACGAAACUUGCGUUCGUAUUCCGAGUUCUCGGAUUAACGCGUGUUUGCGUUCCCGAAAAUCCACAACAUCGCAUCAGUGCGCGGCAAAUGGGGGAGAAAUUUCUGAAUUUUAUUUUGGCUCAGGUGCUCUCCUAUAUAUAUAUAUAUGUAUAUUAAAUAUUAUGAUUGUCUAAGUAUAUGAGGUUUUUGAAAGAACUCCGUAAAAUAAGAGGGUACCUGAUGGCUAAAAUGGAAAGACGGUAGAAAAACGGAAUGAUGGCUU
Long non-coding RNA from Leptopilina boulardi, 797 nucleotides. RefSeq lists it as uncharacterized. NCBI's taxonomy places the organism in Eukaryota, Metazoa, Arthropoda, Insecta, Hymenoptera, Figitidae. The transcript is spliced from 3 exons. The record is from RefSeq and is a predicted model, not a curated record.